Molecule: ribosomal RNA, 253 nt
Filed under: uncultured bacterium
Lineage: Bacteria
Description: partial 16S ribosomal RNA
Rfam family: Bacterial small subunit ribosomal RNA
Source: RNAcentral
UACGUAGGGUGCGAGCGUUAAUCGGAAUUACUGGGCGUAAAGCGUGCGCAGGCGGUUAAGUAAGACAGAUGUGAAAUUCCCGGGCUCAACCUGGGAACUGCAUUUGUGACUGCUUGACUAGAGUGCGGCAGAGGGGAGUGGAAUUCCGCGUGUAGCAGUGAAAUGCGUAGAUAUGCGGAGGAACACCGAUGGCGAAGGCAACUCCCUGGGCCUGCACUGACGCUCAUGCACGAAAGCGUGGGGAGCAAACAGG